Molecule: ribosomal RNA, 117 nt
Filed under: Candidatus Omnitrophota bacterium
Lineage: Bacteria; Pseudomonadati; Candidatus Omnitrophota
Source: RNAcentral
CCGGGCGAUAAUAGCGGAGGUGUCACACCCGUUCCCAUUCCGAAUACGGAAGUUAAGCCCUCCUGCGUCGAUGGUACUGUCACGGUGACGUGGCGGGAGAGUAGAACGUCGCUCGGC